This 301-nucleotide ribosomal RNA is filed under the name uncultured bacterium. RNAcentral describes it as "partial 16S ribosomal RNA". It matches the Rfam family "Bacterial small subunit ribosomal RNA", at positions 509 to 808 of the family's 1533-position model. The record is from RNAcentral.
CAGUCGCCGCGGUAAUGCGUAGGUCCCGAGCGUUGUCCGGAUUUAUUGGGCGUAAAGCGAGCGCAGGCGGUUAGAUAAGUCUGAAGUUAAAGGCUGUGGCUUAACCAUAGUACGCUUUGGAAACUGUUUAACUUGAGUGCAAGAGGGGAGAGUGGAAUUCCAUGUGUAGCGGUGAAAUGCGUAGAUAUAUGGAGGAACACCGGUGGCGAAAGCGGCUCUCUGGCUUGUAACUGACGCUGAGGCUCGAAAGCGUGGGGAGCAAACAGGAUUAGAGACCCCCGUAGUCCCUGUCUCUUAUACA